GCGUGAGUAACCUGCCUUUCAGAGGGGGAGUAACGUUCUGAAAAGAACGCUAAUACCGCAUGAGACUACAGAGCUGCAUGGCUCAGUGGUCAAAGGAGCAAUCCGCUGAAAGAUGGACUCGCGUCCGAUUAGAUAGUAGGCGGGGUAACGGCCCACCUAGUCGACGAUCGGUAGCCGGACUGAGAGGUUGAACGGCCACCAUUGGGACUGAGACACGGCCCAGACUCCUACGGGAGGCAGCAUG
This 244-nucleotide ribosomal RNA is filed under the name uncultured bacterium. RNAcentral's name for it is "partial 16S ribosomal RNA". It matches the Rfam family "Bacterial small subunit ribosomal RNA", at positions 115 to 353 of the family's 1533-position model. The record is from RNAcentral.